Molecule: ribosomal RNA, 465 nt
Filed under: uncultured Klebsiella sp.
Lineage: Bacteria; Pseudomonadati; Pseudomonadota; Gammaproteobacteria; Enterobacterales; Enterobacteriaceae
Description: bacterial SSU rRNA
Rfam family: Bacterial small subunit ribosomal RNA
Source: RNAcentral
CCUACGGGAGGCUGCAGUGGGGAAUAUUGCACAAUGGGCGCAAGCCUGAUGCAGCCAUGCCGCGUGUGUGAAGAAGGCCUUCGGGUUGUAAAGCACUUUCAGCGGGGAGGAAGGCGUUAAGGUUAAUAACCUUGGCGAUUGACGUUACCCGCAGAAGAAGCAACGGCUAACUCCGUGCCAGCAGCCGCGGUAAUACGGAGGGUGCAAGCGUUAAUCGGAAUUACUGGGCGUAAAGCGCACGCAGGCGGUCUGUCAAGUCGGAUGUGAAAUCCCCGGGCUCAACCUGGGAACUGCAUUCGAAACGGGCAGGCUAGAGUCUUGUAGAGGGGGGUAGAAUUCCAGGUGUAGCGGUGAAAUGCGCAGAGAUCUGGAGGAAUACCGGUGGCGAAGGCGGCCCCCUGGACAAAGACUGACGCUCAGGUGCGAAAGCGUGGGGAGCAAACGGGAUUAGAUACCCGUGUAGUC